Molecule: long non-coding RNA, 1057 nt
Filed under: Strigops habroptila (Kakapo)
Lineage: Eukaryota; Metazoa; Chordata; Aves; Psittaciformes; Psittacidae
Description: lncRNA (ENSSHBG00005003153.1)
Source: RNAcentral
UAUCUUUACUGAAUGAAUUUAUUGGUUUUUGAACUAAAGUUGCUCACAGUUAUUUAACAAGGGAUACAUCAGAUUUUUUUGUCCAUUUUAAACCAUUAAAUAAUGUCAGUUUGUGUCUGUAUAUGUGUGUGUGCGCGCGUGUGUGUCUUCAAAGUACAAAAUAGGAAGGAUAACAAGAGGUAUUGCUUUCAUUUAUUCUUAUAUCUUGUGUAAGUAAUCCCCUUCCUGCUUGUACCACAUGGGUUUUGCUGAUAUAGGUAUUUUUAAAUUAUUAUUAUUUUGUAUUGAAAUCCCAGCCUUUUGUAGAGGUACAAUGUAACAGAAGCAUCAAAAUCUGUACACAAGGGAAGAGAAAAGAGGGAAAAGAAGGAUGGGGGGAAAAUAAAUAAAUAAAUAAACCAAUAAAAUAAAAUAAAUCCCUCCCAUUUGGGGGAAUGGGGAAACGGGGCAGAAGUCAAAGGUCUUUGCCCCAGUUGUGUCUUUAAAAAUUCUUUUUAAUCUUCAAACCUAUGUACAAGUAAAACUGGUCCAAGAAGGGGAAAAACGGUUAAAAAAACCAACAACAACAACAACAACGAAAAAGAACUCAUCCAACAGUAUCAUUAAAAAAAAAAUAUUUUGCGAUACAACAUACACCCAUAGGAACCCAACGAGCAGCAAUCGAAGGUCAUAAAAGAGCUGAACACUAAUGCUAAGCCUACAUUCUUAAAAUCUCAGUCAAGAAGUACUUCUCACUGUGUUUUGUCUUCCACGCGUAAAACCACAUUGGUUUUGUUUGUUUAACCUUUGAGCUUGGGCCAGAAUAAGUUACACUUGGUCACAUAACUCUUGAGGAGGAGGAAAAAAGCAGCAAUUCUUCUUUCUCAAAGUCACAAGAUAACACUUAUGGGGUUUCCAUGUCUUUUUUCCACCUCCUCCCCAAAAUAAAUAAGAAUCAGUGUUUCCUCUACACGGUUAUUAAACAGAAGAUAUAUCUAACAGCUUAUUUUUUUAAAUAUAUAUAUAUGUAUAUAUAAAUAACCAAAACCUAAGAACUGAAACACAAAAAAAAAAAAAA